This 23-nucleotide non-coding RNA is filed under the name Arabidopsis thaliana (thale cress). Lineage: Eukaryota; Viridiplantae; Streptophyta; Magnoliopsida; Brassicales; Brassicaceae. The record is from RNAcentral.
GAGCCCAAACUUUAACUUUGGUC